CGGCGGACGGGUGAGUAACGCGUGGGUAACCUGCCUCAUACAGGGGGAUAACAGUUAGAAAUGACUGCUAAUACCGCAUAAGACCACAGCACCGCAUGGUGCAGGGGUAAAAACUCCGGUGGUAUGAGAUGGACCCGCGUCUGAUUAGGUAGUUGGUGGGGUAACGGCUUACCAAGCCGACGAUCAGUAGCCGACCUGAGAGGGUGACCGGCCACAUUGGGACUGAGACACGGCCCAA
This 238-nucleotide ribosomal RNA is filed under the name uncultured bacterium. RNAcentral describes it as "partial 16S ribosomal RNA". It matches the Rfam family "Bacterial small subunit ribosomal RNA", at positions 96 to 334 of the family's 1533-position model. The record is from RNAcentral.